Molecule: transfer RNA, 73 nt
Filed under: Myotis lucifugus (little brown bat)
Lineage: Eukaryota; Metazoa; Chordata; Mammalia; Chiroptera; Vespertilionidae
Rfam family: tRNA
About the family: Transfer RNA (tRNA) molecules are approximately 80 nucleotides in length. Their secondary structure includes four short double-helical elements and three loops (D, anti-codon, and T loops). Further hydrogen bonds mediate the characteristic L-shaped molecular structure. tRNAs have two regions of fundamental functional importance: the anti-codon, which is responsible for specific mRNA codon recognition, and the 3' end, to which the tRNAs corresponding amino acid is attached (by aminoacyl-tRNA synthetases). tRNAs cope with the degeneracy of the genetic code in two manners: having more than one tRNA (with a specific anti-codon) for a particular amino acid; and 'wobble' base-pairing, i.e. permitting non-standard base-pairing at the 3rd anti-codon position.
Source: Rfam by way of RNAcentral
GCCGGUGUGGCUCAAUGGAUAGAGCGUCGGCCUGUGGACUGAAGGGUCCCGGGUUCGAUUCCGGUCAAGGGCA